This 497-nucleotide ribosomal RNA is filed under the name uncultured bacterium. Its description in RNAcentral is "partial 16S ribosomal RNA". It matches the Rfam family "Bacterial small subunit ribosomal RNA", at positions 28 to 507 of the family's 1533-position model. The record is from RNAcentral.
GAUGAACGCUGGCGGCGUGCCUAAUACAUGCAAGUCGAGCGAACAGACGAGGUGCUUGCUCCUCUGACGUUAGCGGCGGACGGGUGAGUAACACGUGGAUAACCUACCUAUAAGACUGGGAUAACUUCGGGAAACCGGAGCUAAUACCGGAUAAUAUAUUGAACCGCAUGGUUCAAUAGUGAAAGACGGUUUUGCUGUCACUUAUAGAUGGAUCCGCGCCGCAUUAGCUAGUUGGUAAGGUAACGGCUUACCAAGGCAACGAUGCGUAGCCGACCUGAGAGGGUGAUCGGCCACACUGGAACUGAGACACGGUCCAGACUCCUACGGGAGGCAGCAGUAGGGAAUCUUCCGAAAUGGGCGAAAGCCUGACGGAGCAACGCCGCGUGAGUGAUGAAGGUCUUCGGAUCGUAAAACUCUGUUAUUAGGGAAGAACAAAUGUGUAAGUAACUAUGCACGUCUUGACGGUACCUAAUCAGAAAGCCACGGCUAACUACGUG